RNAcentral lists this ribosomal RNA (248 nucleotides) under uncultured bacterium. Its description in RNAcentral is "partial 16S ribosomal RNA". It matches the Rfam family "Bacterial small subunit ribosomal RNA", at positions 15 to 244 of the family's 1533-position model. The record is from RNAcentral.
GAUCCUGGCUCAGGAUGAACGCUGGCGGCGUGCUUAACACAUGCAAGUCGAACGAAACACCUUAUUUGAUUUUCUUCGGAACUGAAGAUUUGGUGAUUGAGUGGCGGACGGGUGAGUAACGCGUGGGUAACCUACCCUGUACAGGGGGAUAACAGCCAGAAAUGAAUGCUAAUACCGCAUAAGACCACAGCACCGCAUGGUGCAGGGGUAAAACUCCGGUGGUACAGGAUGGACCCGCGUCUGAUUAG